UGCUGGAGGUAUCAGAAGUGCGAAUGCUGACAUAAGUAACGAUAAAGCGGGUGAAAAGCCCGCUCGCCGGAAGACCAAGGGUUCCUGUCCAACGUUAAUCGGGGCAGGGUGAGUCGACCCCUAAGGCGAGGCCGAAAGGCGUAGUCGAUGGGAAACGGGUUAAUAUUCCCGUACUUGGUGUUACUGCGAAGGGGGGACGGAGAAGGCUAUGUUGGCCGGGCGACGGUUGUCCCGGUUUAAGCGUGUAGGCUGGUUUUCCAGGCAAAUCCGGAAAAUCAAGGCUGAGGCGUGACGACGAGGCACUACGGUGCUGAAGCAACAAAUGCCCUGCUUCCAGGAAAAGCCUCUAAGCAUCAGGUAACAUCAAAUCGUACCCCAAACCGACACAGGUGGUCAGGUAGAGAAUACCAAGGCGCUUGAGAGAACUCGGGUGAAGGAACUAGGCAAAAUGGUGCCGUAACUUCGGGAGAAGGCACGCUGACACGUAGGUGAAGUGAUUUACUCAUGGAGCUGAAGUCAGUCGAAGAUACCAGCUGGCUGCAACUGUUUAUUAAAAACACAGCACUGUGCAAACACGAAAGUGGACGUAUACGGUGUGACGCCUGCCCGGUGCCGGAAGGUUAAUUGAUGGGGUCAGCGCAAGCGAAGCUCCUGAUCGAAGCCCCGGUAAACGGCGGCCGUAACUAUAACGGUCCUAAGGUAGCGAAAUUCCUUGUCGGGUAAGUUCCGACCUGCACGAAUGGCGUAAUGAUGGCCAGGCUGUCUCCACCCGAGACUCAGUGAAAUUGAACUCGCUGUGAAGAUGCAGUGUACCCGCGGCAAGACGGAAAGACCCCGUGAACCUUUACUAUAGCUUGACACUGAACAUUGAGCCUUGAUGUGUAGGAUAGGUGGGAGGCUUUGAAGUGUGGACGCCAGUCUGCAUGGAGCCGACCUUGAAAUACCACCCUUUAAUGUUUGAUGUUCUAACGUGGACCCGUAAUCCGGGUUGCGGACAGUGUCUGGUGGGUAGUUUGACUGGGGCGGUCUCCUCCUAAAGAGUAACGGAGGAGCACGAAGGUUGGCUAAUCCUGGUCGGACAUCAGGAGGUUAGUGCAAUGGCAUAAGCCAGCUUGACUGCGAGCGUGACGGCGCGAGCAGGUGCGAAAGCAGGUCAUAGUGAUCCGGUGGUUCUGAAUGGAAGGGCCAUCGCUCAACGGAUAAAAGGUACUCCGGGGAUAACAGGCUGAUACCGCCCAAGAGUUCAUAUCGACGGCGGUGUUUGGCACCUCGAUGUCGGCUCAUCACAUCCUGGGGCUGAAGUAGGUCCCAAGGGUAUGGCUGUUCGCCAUUUAAAGUGGUACGCGAGCUGGGUUUAGAACGUCGUGAGACAGUUCGGUCCCUAUCUGCCGUGGGCGCUGGAGAACUGAGGGGGGCUGCUCCUAGUACGAGAGGACCGGAGUGGACGCAUCACUGGUGUUCGGGUUGUCAUGCCAAUGGCACUGCCCGGUAGCUAAAUGCGGAAGAGAUAAGUGCUGAAAGCAUCUAAGCACGAAACUUGCCCCGAGAUGAGUUCU
This 1556-nucleotide ribosomal RNA is filed under the name Salmonella enterica. RNAcentral describes it as "bacterial LSU rRNA". It matches the Rfam family "Bacterial large subunit ribosomal RNA", at positions 1271 to 2812 of the family's 2925-position model. RNAcentral also lists the same sequence under 2 other names. The record is from RNAcentral. Lineage: Bacteria; Pseudomonadati; Pseudomonadota; Gammaproteobacteria; Enterobacterales; Enterobacteriaceae.